CCCUGGUUAGCUCAGUUGGUAGAGAGCUCCACUUGUAAUGGAGAGGUCCCGGGUUCGAUACCCGGACCAGGCG
This 73-nucleotide transfer RNA is filed under the name Ixodes scapularis (black-legged tick). It matches the Rfam family "tRNA". From Rfam's summary of the family: Transfer RNA (tRNA) molecules are approximately 80 nucleotides in length. Their secondary structure includes four short double-helical elements and three loops (D, anti-codon, and T loops). Lineage: Eukaryota; Metazoa; Arthropoda; Arachnida; Ixodida; Ixodidae. The record is from Rfam by way of RNAcentral.